CCUACGGGUGGCAGCAGUGGGGAAUAUUGCACAAUGGGGGAAACCCUGAUGCAGCGACGCCGCGUGAGUGAAGAAGUAUUUCGUUAUGUAACGCUCUAUCAGCAGGGAAGAAAAUAACGGUACCUGAGUAAGAAGCACCGGCUAACUACGAGCCAGCAGCCGCGGCAAUACGUAGGGAGCAAGCGUUAUACGGAUUUACUGGGUGUAAAGGGGGCGUAGACGGCAGUGCAAGUCUGGAGUGAAAGGCAGGGGCUCAACCCCCGGACUGCUGUGGAAACUGUACGGCUGGAGUGCAGGAGAGGUAAGCGGAAUUCCUAGUGUAGCGGUGAAAUGCGUAGAUAUUAGGAGGAACACCAGUGGCGAAGGCGGCUUACUGGACUGUAACUGACGUUGAGGCUCGAAAGCGUGGGGAUCAAACAGGAUUAGAUACCCUAGUAGUC
Molecule: ribosomal RNA, 440 nt
Filed under: uncultured bacterium
Lineage: Bacteria
Description: partial 16S ribosomal RNA
Rfam family: Bacterial small subunit ribosomal RNA
Source: RNAcentral